GACGAACGCUGGCGGCGUGCUUAACACAUGCAAGUCGAACGGAAAGGCUCCAGCUUGCUGGAGUACUCGAGUGGCGAACGGGUGAGUAACACGUGGGUAAUCUGCCCUGCACUCUGGGAUAAGCCUGGGAAACUGGGUCUAAUACUGGAUAUGACCUUUCUCCUUAUGGGGUUUGGUGGAAAGUUUUUCGGUGUAGGAUGAGCCCGCGGCCUAUCAGCUUGUUGGUGGGGUGAUGGCCUACCAAGGCGACGACGGGUAGCCGGCCUGAGAGGGUGAGCGGCCACACUGGGACUGAGAUACGGCCCAGCCUCCUACGGGAGGCAGCAGUGCGGAAUAUUGUACAAUGGGCGGAAGCCUGAUGCAGCGACGCCGCGUGGGGGAUGACGGCCUUCGGGUUGUAAUCCUCUUUCAGCUGGGACGAAGCGUAGGUGACGGUACCUGCAGAAGAAGCACCGGCUAACUACGUG
This 467-nucleotide ribosomal RNA is filed under the name uncultured bacterium. RNAcentral's name for it is "partial 16S ribosomal RNA". It matches the Rfam family "Bacterial small subunit ribosomal RNA", at positions 28 to 507 of the family's 1533-position model. The record is from RNAcentral.